Molecule: ribosomal RNA, 403 nt
Filed under: Wolbachia sp.
Lineage: Bacteria; Pseudomonadati; Pseudomonadota; Alphaproteobacteria; Rickettsiales; Anaplasmataceae
Description: bacterial SSU rRNA
Rfam family: Bacterial small subunit ribosomal RNA
Source: RNAcentral
GAUUUAUACCUAUUCGAAGGGAUAGGGUGGUUUGGCCGGAUUUCACACAGGUGUUGCAUGGCUGUCGUCAGCUCGUGUCGUGAGAUGUGGGUUAAGUCCCGCAACGAGCGCAACCCUCAUCCUUAGUUACCAUCAGGUUAUGCUGGGGUUUAAGGAAACUGCCAGUGAUAAACUGGAGGAAGGUGGGGAUGAUGUCAAGUCAUCAUGGCCUUAUGGAGUGGGCUACACACGUGCUACAAUGGUGAUUACAAUGGGCUGCAAGGUCGCAAGCUGAGCUAAUCCUAAAAAAUCAUCUCAGUUCGGAUUGUUCUCUGCAACUCGAGAGCAUGAGUUGGAAUCGCUAGUAAUCGUGGAUCAGCAUGCCACGGUGAAUACGUUCUCGGGUCUUGACACACUGCCCGUC